UUGACAUGUCGAUGGUCGCGUGCGCUUGGCUGAAAUCUGCUAAUUAACUGGCAAAUUAGAGAAGUGAAUGGUCUGGACGUUGCAGUAAUGACAGCGUGUGAUGUAGAAAAGGGUCACUAAGCUGACAUAUAUGAAAAGAGAAGCAGGUUUUGUUGUCUCUGUGAGUAGUGAAUGGUUGAUGUAUGAGCUUGUUUUAAUUAACAGCACAAUAAAGCAAUUGUGGUGUAGAGCAACAUUCUACAAGCCACCCCCGAAUUCCCAUGGCUCAGUCUUUGGUCAUGGCAGGCACCGACUAUCAUUCCUCUCUGUGCGGAGCAACCGACAAGCUAGUGGAUAUGAGUUCGCAUGCUUCCGUCGGGGUGGAGUUGAAAAAAUUGUCUUCAUCGGUGAUGUACUCUGCAGAAGAAACCUCCCAGGUCAUCCCCUGGUUUCUGAUUUGGAGAUCUCUGAUGGGAUUCUGGGGGAUCAGGUUUUGUAAACUCCAAAGACAACCUUUCUCCUGAAGGUGGUGGUACUACAAUGAACUUGCUUCAAUUAUCAUCACAACUUCAACGUGUGGAGGAUCAAAGGCAAUCCAUCCAUUUGAAGGAGCAAAAUGAUGUUUUCGGUUGUCGCAGCAUCACUUGAGCAUUCCAAGACAAGGUACAAGGAAAUCCUUGAAACCUUCAUUUGCUUGAUGGAUUUCUUCCAGGUUCCUUAAACAAAACAGGAGAACUAUAGAUCCAGUAGGUAAUGAGAAAAUGAAGGCCAGAACCAAUGUUAGGCAUAUUGUUAUUCCUUGCACAAGCUCGGCUAGACCUCAGCUUAUCCCAGACAUAAUAUGCUGUUACAGCAGUGGAGGCCGUACCAUAAUUUUUACUGAGAUGAAGGAAUCUGCUUCUCAACUUUCUGGAUUAUCACCUGGAGCACGGCCCUUGCAAGGAGACAUACAGCAAGCCCAAUGAGAGUCAAAUGAUGAAUGUGCAUAAUCUUUAGAGAUACUAAUACGCGUAAGAGUAUUAACGUUGUAACACACUGAAGAGGAGAUGAACAAAGAAGAUAGAGCAUGGUUUAUUAUACUAAAUUACAUGACUACAAAUAGUUGGUUUGCCUGCUCUCUAGUUGUCAACCACAUAUAGCAGGUCUGGCAAGUAUAUGAUAUUAGUGGCCACGAAUGUGGCGGCAUGUGGAUUGGACAUCAAUGAUGUCCAGUUAAUUAUCCAGGUAUGCUGGAUAAUUCAUGUGGCAAUACUGGAGUAGAUGUCAUGCUGUUCGAUCCAAGAAGGGCAAAUGUAUCUAAGAUCGAAAGAGAGUCUUGGGGUAAAAUUUGAACACAUUGCUGCUCCGCAGCCAAGUGAUGUUGCUCAAACUGCUGGUGUUGAAGCUGCAGAAUCAAUAAGACAUUUCUGAUAGUGUCAUUACAGCAUUCAAGUCUGCAGCCGAGCAACUACUGAACAGGUCAGGCAUGUCAGUAGUUGAAUUACUUGCAAAGGCUCUUGCCAAGGCUUCUUUAAUCCCAAAGGAAGCUUUCCAAUUGCUUUCCCAUAAAUUUCAUGGAAAAGGGCCUGGCAAAAUGAAGCAAGAGAAGCGCGUAAAGCAAUACCAGGAAGAAUUGAAGUUGAAGCAGAUGAAGAAUUCAGACACGCCUUCUUUGUCUGCAGAGAGGAUGAGGGAAGCUCAAGCUCAAAUGAAGACACCUUAUCUUGUGCUUAGUGGUCAUGUUAAGCCUGGUCAAAACAGUGAUCCAAGAAGUGGCUUUGCCACCAUUGAGAAGGAUCCGGGAGCUUAACUCCCAUGCUUGGAGAUAGGAAGGUUGAGCAUUUAUUGGGGAUAAAGCGGAAGCCUAAGCCUAGUAACUUGCGAGCACCAAAGAAGCCGAAAACUUGAAGUGUUACUGUCAGGUCUUCUAUUAUUUGCUGAGUUCAAGCAACUUACUAUUGGGGCUGGAAGUAACUUCAGGCCUAGGCAUCGAUUGCAGCUCCACAUUACAUUAUUCUAUAUACCUUUUAGCUUUAUCAACUAUGAAGAUCAAAAUAUAGAUGCUCUUGUUGCUUUUGAAGAUGUACUUAGACCUGUAAUGCCAACAAGACAGGCGGCAAUUUUUUAGAAUUCUUUGUUGCCCGAGAAUUGAAUGGCACCUUUAUUAGUGAUCUUCUUCAUUGUUACUGUUCCUAGAAAUGGUUGUACCUGUUCCUAGAGAUGGUUGUACAGAUUAUGUGAUUCACAGGUGGCUAUUUCACAGAUGCUACUCUUGCUGUUAGACAAACGAUUGAGCAAGUGAAAUGCUCUGCAUGUGUUUAUGGAGAGAUAAUGGCCAUC
Molecule: long non-coding RNA, 2298 nt
Organism: Eucalyptus grandis
Lineage: Eukaryota; Viridiplantae; Streptophyta; Magnoliopsida; Myrtales; Myrtaceae
Exons: 9
Source: RefSeq, a predicted model, not a curated record